UAUACAUGCAAGUCGAGCGGACAGAAGGGAGCUUGCUCCCGGAUGUUAGCGGCGGACGGGUGAGUAACACGUGGGUAACCUGCCUGUAAGACUGGGAUAACUCCGGGAAACCGGAGCUAAUACCGGAUAGUUCCUUGAACCGCAUGGUUCAAGGAUGAAAGACGGUUUCGGCUGUCACUUACAGAUGGACCCGCGGCGCAUUAGCUAGUUGGUGAGGUAACGGCUCACCAAGGCGACGAUGCGUAGCCGACCUGAGAGGGUGAUCGGCCACACUGGGACUGAGACACGGCCCAGACUCCUACGGGAGGCAGCAGUAGGGAAUCUUCCGCAAUGGACGAAAGUCUGACGGAGCAACGCCGCGUGAGUGAUGAAGGUUUUCGGAUCGUAAAGCUCUGUUGUUAGGGAAGAACAAGUGCAAGAGUAACUGCUUGCACCUUGACGGUACCUAACCAGAAAGCCACGGCUAACUACGUGCCAGCAGCCGCGGUAAUACGUAGGUGGCAAGCGUUGUCCGGAAUUAUUGGGCGUAAAGGGCUCGCAGGCGGUUUCUUAAGUCUGAUGUGAAAGCCCCCGGCUCAACCGGGGAGGGUCAUUGGAAA
RNAcentral lists this ribosomal RNA (599 nucleotides) under Bacillus sp. CH57b_2C. Its description in RNAcentral is "bacterial SSU rRNA". It matches the Rfam family "Bacterial small subunit ribosomal RNA", at positions 50 to 632 of the family's 1533-position model. The record is from RNAcentral. Lineage: Bacteria; Bacillati; Bacillota; Bacilli; Caryophanales; Bacillaceae.